Cyprinus carpio (common carp) is the source of this 640-nucleotide long non-coding RNA. RefSeq lists it as uncharacterized. The record is from RefSeq and is a predicted model, not a curated record. NCBI's taxonomy places the organism in Eukaryota, Metazoa, Chordata, Actinopteri, Cypriniformes, Cyprinidae. The transcript has 2 exons.
GAACAGUGUCAUUCUCUGAUCCUGUAACUAACACACAUCUACACACAUUCACAACCUCCUUCACUCACACACUCUUUCCUUUCUUCUGGUGUUAUUAUUCUUCCUCUCUGAGGAUCUUAUCGAUCAAUAGUCAGUAAUCUGUAGCUCUGGAUCUUCCUGCUUUCAUCAUGUUUCAGUAUUUAAUCACAUGAGUAAGAGAUCAGUUACACAGUUAUACUAUUAUUACAGUCAGAUAACAUGAGACACAUCUUAAUAACGACCAUAACCAGAUGCUAGCUGUCAAAUUUGUACGCUUUUAGUCUUUCUGCAAUAUUUCUCUCCCUGAUGGAGGCUGAAUGAGUUUUAAUCUCUUCAGAUAAUAAAGAGUUUCGCUGAAUGCAGUUGGUUGUCUUGUGUUUUUUAAACCUUUUUAAAUGUUGGUAAACAUUCAGAUCAGAAAGUGAAGUGUCCAAGCACAACAUGUCAUGUGACCAUAACCCACAUCAGAGAACCAAUGAACAUGCAGAUGUGAUGCUGCAUUAUUAAAUUAUUAUAAAAUCUCAGGAUACUUCAAAUCAAAACAUAUUAGAUGAGAGAGGAUCAGAUGACAGAAAAACAGUGUGAGUUUAAUGAGUUUGAAAGAAAAGCCUCACAAAGACCC